This 1025-nucleotide long non-coding RNA is filed under the name Parus major (Great Tit). Its description in RNAcentral is "lncRNA (ENSPMJG00000012359.1)". Lineage: Eukaryota; Metazoa; Chordata; Aves; Passeriformes; Paridae. The record is from RNAcentral.
CAGCAAUUCCCGUGGAUCCAGCAGAGCUGCCGGCUCAGCAGCCCGGCCCAGCUCCCUUGGCCGCCCUCCACACCCCGCGGCCGCUCGGAGCUGGGUGCACAAACAGGACGGGCUGGUUCCCAGCACGGAGAGAACGAGCUGGGCUCGAGGACAGCAGUGCCGAGCACAGCUCCAUCCCCGUCACAUCCCCAGGGCCACCGUGGCUGGAUGAGGGUCUCCUGCACAGCCCUGGUGGCGGUGUCACCGUGGGACACAUUGACCCCAGAUGUUUUCAGUGCUGCAGGGACAGCGGCAGCCCGGAUUUUGGCUGAUUGGGAAGGCAAAGCCUGUCUCCUCCAGGGCAGUUUCCAAGGGAGGUGUUUGAUCACUGCAGCCAAGGAGGCUUCUGUGUGCCCAUCCCUGGAAGUGUUCAAGGCCAAUUUGGAGCACUGUGGUCUCGUGGAAGGUGUCCUUGCUCAUGGCAGGGGGUGGAAUAAAAUGAGCUUUUAGGUCUUUCCAACCUGACCCAUCCUGUGAUUCCAUGAUUCCAUCCCCCAGCCCCUCCUGGCACCAGCAUUCUGCAGCUUUGGGAGCCAGGGAAGGGGUGGCUGGAGCACAGCUCACAGGAACCAGCCCAGCUCACAGAAAUAGCAGCGACAGAAGGAGUGUUUGGUGUACCCGACCUUCUGCUUUGUACAGCUCCAGUGCUGCUUUUCCAAACUAAAAAUACCUCUUACCUUGACUGCUCCGAGGAGGAACACUUGCUCGGCAGGUUGUUUAGGAUUCUGGGGAAGAAAGUUCAGGCAGAGCUCAAUUAGUCUGCCUUAAUUUACAAGCCAAGUUCUGUGUCUGCAUGAUUUGCUUCGCUUGUCUGUGCACAUUUUAAAGCACAGAGCAAUGCUGUGGGAGGGCGUUUUUCACUGCACGUACUUAGGGUAGAAAUGCUGCUGUUAUUCACAUGUUUACAGCCCUCCUCAUAAUGAAACUGCUGCGUUUUCUGCCAUAUUAAAACAAAAUAAAACCUCAAAAAAAGUGAUGUGCUGAAA